GACGAACGCUGGCGGCGUGCUUAACACAUGCAAGUCGAACGCUGAAGCUCAGCUUUUGUUGGGUGGAUGAGUGGCGGACGGGUGAGUAACACGUGAGUAACCUGCCCCCUUCUUUGGGAUAACGCCCGGAAACGGGUGCUAAUACUGGAUAUUCACUGGUCUUCGCAUGGGGGUUGGUGGAAAGGGUUUUUCUGGUGGGGGAUGGGCUCGCGGCCUAUCAGCUUGUUGGUGGGGUGAUGGCCUACCAAGGCUUUGACGGGUAGCCGGCCUGAGAGGGUGACCGGUCACAUUGGGACUGAGAUACGGCCCAGACUCCUACGGGAGGCAGCAGUGGGGAAUAUUGCACAAUGGGCGCAAGCCUGAUGCAGCGACGCCGCGUGAGGGACGGAGGCCUUCGGGUUGUGAACCUCUUUCGCUCAUGGUCAAGCCGCAACAAUGGUUGUGGUGAGGGUAGUGGGUAAAGAAGCGCCGGCUAACUACGUG
This 483-nucleotide ribosomal RNA is filed under the name uncultured bacterium. RNAcentral describes it as "partial 16S ribosomal RNA". It matches the Rfam family "Bacterial small subunit ribosomal RNA", at positions 28 to 507 of the family's 1533-position model. The record is from RNAcentral.